GCAGUGCCCUGCCCAGUCAGUGCCAGUGGGAGAGAGAUAACAUGAACAUCAACAUCAACGUAUUCGAAAAAAGACUUCCAUUUUUAUGCAUUUUCAAAGGGCAUCGUCGAAAUUAAAGUAGAAAUCUUGGGCAACCUUUUGCUUCCACUAGUAUAAGUAAGCCACAAGACAAACACUUUCUUAGAGAAUUGAAUUGAAAUGGCGAAGCUGCCAUGCCCCGUUACUCCUAGUCAUCAGCACCUGUUUUUGCUAGUAAUGAUAAUAGCCUUGCUUUCUUUUUGCUUUCGUUGUUCGCUUUCAGAGAUCAUUUUCGAAGAGCGUUUUGAAGAGGGGUGGCAAAGACGUUGGGUUAAAUCCGACUGGAAAAGCAGUGAAGGCAAAGCAGGUUCCUUUAAACACACAGCUGGAAAGUGGUCUGGAGACCCAGAUGAUAAAGGAAUUCAGACAUCAAAUGAUGCCAAACAUUUUGCCAUAUCUGCAAAGAUACCGGAGUUCAGCAACAAGAACAGGACGUUGGUCCUCCAAUACUCUGUACGGUUUGAGCAGGAAAUUGAAUGUGGUGGGGGUUACAUAAAGCUUAUGUCUGGAUUUGUUAAUCAGAAGAAAUUCAGUGGGGACACUCCAUACAGUUUAAUGUUUGGACCUGAUAUAUGUGGCACGGAUACAAAGAAGCUCCAUGUUAUUCUCUCUUACCAAGGCCAGAAUUACCCCAUCAAGAAGGAUUUACAGUGUGAAACCGACAAGUUGACUCAUUUUUACACAUUCAUUCUUAGGCCUGAUGCAACGUAUAGUGUCCUAGUUGACAACAGAGAAAGGGACUCUGGAAGCAUGUACACAGACUGGGAUAUUCUUCCUCCAAGAAAGAUUAAAGAUGUUAAUGCAAAGAAGCCAGCAGACUGGGAUCUUAGAGAAUACAUUGAUGAUCCUGAUAGCAUCAAACCUGAGGGACAUGAUUCAAUUCCAAGAGAAAUUUCAGAUCCAAAAGCUAAAGAGGUUAAUUGCUUAUGGAGUAGUACUAUAAACAAACCUGAUGACUGGGAUGAAGAAGAGAACGGUUUAUGGAAAGCUCCAAAGAUACCAAAUCCAGCUUAUAAAGGACCAUGGAAACCCAAGAAAAUCAAGAACCCCAAUUAUAAAGGGAAAUGGAAGACUCCUUGGAUUGAUAAUCCUGAGUUUGAAGAUGACCCUGAUCUUUAUGUGCUUAAGCCAAUUAAGUACGUGGGUGUCGAAGUUUGGCAGGUAAAGGCUGGUUCAGUUUUUGACAACAUUUUAAUUUGUGAUGAUCCUGAGUAUGCCAAACAAGUUGUCGAGGAAGUCUUUACCAAUAGAGAGGCUGAAAAGGAUGCCUUUGAAGAAGCAGAAAAAAAGAGGAAGGCACAAGAGGAAGAGGAAGCUCAAAGAGCGAGAGAGGAGGGUGAAAGGAGGAGACGAGAUAGGGGUUAUGAUCGAGGUCGAGACAGACACAGAGACAGAUACCGAAGGUGAUCAGCCAUGGACGCGCUGAGGAAGCAGCUGGACCAGCUUAUGGGGGCCAAUCGAAACGGCGACGUCCGAGAGGUCAACCGCAAAUAUUACGAUCGCGAAGUGUGUCGCCUCUACUUGGUUGGGCUCUGCCCCCACGAGCUUUUCCAGUUAACGAAAAUGGAUAUGGGUCCCUGCCCUAAGGUCCACUCGUUGCAGCUCAGAAAAGAAUACGAAGAAGCCAAAGCAAAAGGGACUGAUAACUAUGACAGAGACCUGGAGGAUGUCAUAGAUAGGCUCAUUGUUGAGUGUGAUAGGAAAAUUGCUAGAGCUCUUAAGCGCCUUGAGGAUGAUGAUGCAAAGGCUGCUAUUGCAAUUUCUGUCUCUGAAGUUACUCAGACGCCAGAGGUACUCGAGUUGUCAAAGCAGAUCAAGGAAAAGUUGAAAGAAGUUGAUCAAUUUGAUCUUGAAGGCAAGACAGAUCUUAAGAUUCGGGCUAUGGAGAUAGUAGACGAACUCAGAGGCAAGAGAGCAGAUAAACAGUCCAUGCUUCUUUUGGAUGCUUUCAAUAAGGAUAGGGCAUCCUUACCUCAACCCCUGCCAAACCCGCCACCUUUGGCACCCUUGCCUGUAGUUGUUCCCGAUGCCCGAACACAGGAAAUGAUAAAUGAAAAGUUGAAGAAGGCAGAGGACCUUGGUGAGCAAGGAAUGGUUGAUGAGGCACAAAAAGCGCUGGAAGAGGCUGAAGCACUGAAGAAGCUGCCUGCCAGACAGGAGCCUAUCCUGGAUUCCUCCAAGUACACUGCUGCUGAUGUGCGCAUUACUGAUCAAAAGCUACGUGUUUGUGACAUCUGUGGAGCAUUUUUGAGUGUUUAUGACAGUGACCGUCGUUUAGCGGAUCACUUUGGCGGGAAGCUUCAUUUAGGCUAUAUGCAAAUCCGUGAGAAGUUAGCAGAGCUGCAGGAAGAGAGAAACAAGAUUCGCAAGGUUGAUCGGUCUGAGGAUAGGAGAUCAAAAGAGCGAAGUAAGGAACGCGACAGGGAAUCAAGUAGGGAUAGGGAACGAGGAGAUAGCCGCGACCGAGGUAGGGAUCAUGAUCGUAGGAGCAGAGAUCGUGAUAGGUAUUAUGAUCGAGAUCGCGGAUAUGAUCGUGAGCGUGACAGAGAUUCAGAUCGCUCCCGCAAUUAUGAUUCGAGAAGUCGCCGUAGAUCACGCUCACGAUCAAGGGAGCGUUCCAGGGAUUAUGAUCGCCACAGGCGUUAUGAUCGGUACUAGGUCAUCCUUGCUAUGGAGCAUGUGGCAAAAGCAUAAUUUGUGUUCUUGUCUAGGUCAGUUUUAAACUCGUGUACCAAGAUGAUUUUAUGUGUUUCUUUUUCGAUAUUGUUUCUGUUCUGGAGUUGAGCUGUUUGACCUGUGAUGGAUGUAAGGACUGCUGCUUAGUUUUUCUCAACUUCGUGUUUAAGAGGUAUGUUUGAGAGGUAUGUUUUACUCUGUUUUAAGAUGGUAUUUGCAUUUUGCUUCAUAUUUGGAUGUAAUUUUUGGCCAUCGAAGAGUGGCUGUAAUUGAAGUAGUUACCUUUGCUAUCUUGAAA
Molecule: RNA transcript, 3052 nt
Organism: Prunus dulcis (almond)
Lineage: Eukaryota; Viridiplantae; Streptophyta; Magnoliopsida; Rosales; Rosaceae
Exons: 25
Source: RefSeq, a predicted model, not a curated record